Molecule: ribosomal RNA, 499 nt
Filed under: uncultured bacterium
Lineage: Bacteria
Description: partial 16S ribosomal RNA
Rfam family: Bacterial small subunit ribosomal RNA
Source: RNAcentral
GACGAACGCUGGCGGCGUGCCUAAUACAUGCAAGUCGAGCGAAGUUUUUCUGGUGCUUGCCCUAGAAAAACUUAGCGGCGAACGGGUGAGUAACACGUAAAGAACCUGCCUCAUAGACUGGGACAACUAUUGGAAACGAUAGCUAAUACCGGAUAACAGUAUUUCUCGCAUGAGAGAUAUUUAAAAGUUGGUUAUGCUAACACUAUGAGAUGGCUUUGCGGUGCAUUAGCUAGUUGGUGGGGUAAAGGCCCACCAAGGCGACGAUGCAUAGCCGACCUGAGAGGGUGAUCGGCCACACUGGGACUGAGACACGGCCCAGACUCCUACGGGAGGCAGCAGUAGGGAAUCUUCCGCAAUGGGCGAAAGCCUGACGGAGCAACGCCGCGUGAGUGAAGAAGGAUUUCGGUUCGUAAAGCUCUGUUGUUAGGGAAGAGUGGAUAUGUAGUAACUAUACAUGUAAGAGACGGUACCUAACCAGAAAGCCACGGCUAACUACGUG